Molecule: ribosomal RNA, 500 nt
Filed under: uncultured bacterium
Lineage: Bacteria
Description: partial 16S ribosomal RNA
Rfam family: Bacterial small subunit ribosomal RNA
Source: RNAcentral
AUUGAACGCUGGCGGCAGGCUUAACACAUGCAAGUCGAGCGGAGAUGAGGUGCUUGCACCUUAUCUUAGCGGCGGACGGGUGAGUAAUGCUUAGGAAUCUGCCUAUUAGUGGGGGACAACAUUCCGAAAGGAAUGCUAAUACCGCAUACGUCCUACGGGAGAAAGCAGGGGAUCUUCGGACCUUGCGCUAAUAGAUGAGCCUAAGUCGGAUUAGCUAGUUGGUGGGGUAAAGGCCUACCAAGGCGACGAUCUGUAGCGGGUCUGAGAGGAUGAUCCGCCACACUGGGACUGAAACACGGCCCAGACUCCUACAGGAGGCAGCAGUGGGAAAAUUGGACAAUGGGGGGAACCCUGAUCCAGCCAUGCCGCGUGUGUGAAGAAGGCCUUAUGGUUGUAAAGCACUUUAAGCGAGGAGGAGGCUACUGAGACUAAUACUCUUGGAUAGUGGACGUUACUCGCAGAAUAAGCACCGGCUAACUCUGUGCCAGCCGCCGCGGUAA